UGCCGGAUGGUGUAACGGUAGCACAACAGACUCUGGAUCUGUUUGUCCUGGUUCAAAUCCAGGUCCGGCAACCA
This 74-nucleotide transfer RNA is filed under the name Lentisphaerota bacterium. Its description in RNAcentral is "Lentisphaerae bacterium (hot springs metagenome) tRNA-Gln". It matches the Rfam family "tRNA". Rfam says of the family: Transfer RNA (tRNA) molecules are approximately 80 nucleotides in length. Their secondary structure includes four short double-helical elements and three loops (D, anti-codon, and T loops). Further hydrogen bonds mediate the characteristic L-shaped molecular structure. tRNAs have two regions of fundamental functional importance: the anti-codon, which is responsible for specific mRNA codon recognition, and the 3' end, to which the tRNAs corresponding amino acid is attached (by aminoacyl-tRNA synthetases). tRNAs cope with the degeneracy of the genetic code in two manners: having more than one tRNA (with a specific anti-codon) for a particular amino acid; and 'wobble' base-pairing, i.e. permitting non-standard base-pairing at the 3rd anti-codon position. The record is from RNAcentral. Lineage: Bacteria; Pseudomonadati; Lentisphaerota.